UAUUUAUUAGAUAACAGACCAAUAUUCCUCGUGUCUAUUGUGGUGACUCAUAGUAACUGAUCGGAUCGCAUGGCCUUGUGCCGCGACUAACCAUUCAAGUUUCUGACCCAUCAGCUUUCGAUGGUAGUGUAUUGGACUACCAUGGCUUUCACGGGUAACGGAGGAUUAGGGUUCGAUUCCGAAGAGGGAGCCUGAGAAACGGCUACCACAUCUAAGGAAGGCAGCAGGCGCGUAAAUUACCCAAUCCUGACUCAGGGAGGUAGUGACAAGAAAUAACGGACCGAGGCCCUCGGGCUUCGGGAUUGCAAUGAGCCGAAUUUACACCCCUUAGCGAGGAUCGAUUGGAGGGCAAGUCUGGUGCCAGCAGCCGCGGUAAUUCCAGCUCCAAUAGCGUAUAUUAAAGUUGUUGCAGUUAAAAAGCUCGUAGUUGGAUUUCUGGGAGGGUGCCAAUGUCCGCCGACGUGCGUGUGCAGCGGCGCCCUUCCAUCCUUCUGUUAACGCCUCUUGGCAUUCAUUUGCUGGUGGCGGGCUCAGAUAUUUUACCUUGAGAAAAUUAGAGUGUUUCAGGCAGGCUAG
Molecule: ribosomal RNA, 576 nt
Filed under: uncultured eukaryote
Lineage: Eukaryota
Description: SSU rRNA
Rfam family: Eukaryotic small subunit ribosomal RNA
Source: RNAcentral